Molecule: ribosomal RNA, 253 nt
Filed under: uncultured bacterium
Lineage: Bacteria
Description: partial 16S ribosomal RNA
Rfam family: Bacterial small subunit ribosomal RNA
Source: RNAcentral
UACGUAGGGGGCGAGCGUUGUCCGGAGUUACUGGGCGUAAAGGGCACGCAGGCGGCCAUGUAAGUCUGUUCUGACAGCUCCUGGCUCAACCGGGAGAGGCGAACGGAAACUGUAUGACUUGAGGACUUCAGAGGGACACGGAAUUCCGGGUGGAGUGGUGAAAUGCGUAGAGAUCCGGAGGAACACCAAAGGCGAAGGCAGUGUCCUGGGAAGUACCUGACGCUCAGGUGCGAAAGCCAGGGGAGCGAACGGG